Molecule: non-coding RNA, 5127 nt
Organism: Cyanistes caeruleus (blue tit)
Lineage: Eukaryota; Metazoa; Chordata; Aves; Passeriformes; Paridae
Source: RefSeq, a predicted model, not a curated record
CCGAGGGCUGGCCCUGCCACAGGGCUCGGUCCCGCCGGGCUGCUGCUGCUGCUGGCGAUUGUGUAGCGGGGCCUCUGACCAGGGGCAGCUCUUCCCUGCGGCUUCGGUCUCACAGAAUCACAAAUGGGUCGGGUUGGAAGGGACCGCGGUGUGUCAGCAGGUCCGACCUCCCUGCUGAAGCGGGGUCAUUGUAGAGCACAAGGUACAGGAUUGCAUCCAGGUGCUUCUGGAAUAUCUCCAAUGAGGGAGACUCCAGUCUCUCUGGCCAACCUGUUUCAGUGUGUGAUCACCACACAGUAAAGAAGGUCUUCCUCAUGUUCGGGUGGAACUUCCUGUGCAUCAGAUUCUGCCUGUUGUCCCUUGUUCUAUUGUUUGUUACCACCAAAAAUCCCUGGCUUCAUCCUCUGACACCCUCCCUCCCAGUACUGAUGGACAUAAAUGAGGUCCCGUCUCAAUCAUCUCUUCUUGAGGCUGAACAGGCCCAAGCCUUUCCUCAUAAGAGAGACGCUCCAGUCCCCCAGUUGUCCUUGUUUCCCUGGGGACUGGGGGAGAGUGGCCAGCUGUGACCCACUGGCCUUAUCCCUGGCCUCACCCUCCUGUCGCCUCAGUAGCCAGUGCCUGCUGUCAGCAAGGCAGGCACCAUUAUUGUGAAGGUUCUUUAGAUCUAUUCCAGCCUGUCCUAUGCUUGCAUCAAGAUUCACCAGCUGACAGGAGAACAAACAGGUUACAUCCCCAUUCCUACAUUUUGCACAGCCUGAGAAAGAAGAAGCUGAUGAAUAGGAGUUCCAUGAAGUUGGAGGAUGGCUCAUGGAACCCAGGUCCGACCAGCCAUUUGGUGGAACAGAACCUUGGGUGAGGGGAUAUGUGGGUCUGUAUUACCCCAUCACCCUUUCCCCCAAAAAGGUAAAAUUUCACUGCAAACCAAAAAGGAUCAUUUCCUCCUGGUGAUACAGGGCUUCAAGAGAACACUUUUCUUCCACUUUUAGGCUUGGUUCUGAAGAAAUACAGGCGGCUGGGUGAAGAUAUUAGUUGGACUGACUUCUCUACUGAGAUUUAUAAACCUCUCUUAUGAAGCAUUUAUAUGAAACACUUCAUAAUCUACCAGUUCCUCCAUUCACUAGAAUCAGAGUUAGCCAAAAGGCGGCCAAAGACAUUCCACGCAUCUGCCACCAACAGAUCAGAGUGUUCUUAUUUGUAUUCCACAAUCCUAAAUAAAAGAUACUUGAAGCUGCUACAGAGCUAAGCAACGGUAUCUGAAAAAGAUGAAAUGUGGAAUUCCAGAAGAAAUUACCUACAGAAGGAGCUUAGAUCCAGAGCUUAUGCAAGAGGCCAGACUUUGAGGUGAGAUCUUGAGGUAAGAAAAUUAAUCAAAGCUUGCAAAAAUUACCUGUGGUAUUUCAAUUAUAUUAAUAUUCUGAAAAUGCAAGGACCAUGUCAGCUUUAAUAACACUAAUAUUUAGGUGAUUUUGCAUUAAGCACCAAGAAUUCUAUACUUUAUAAGAAGGUAGCACUGUGAAAUUGAACCAGCCUUCUUCCCAGUUAAUGUAUAGAAGGAUCACUUAGAAUAUUUUGUGGAAACAGAAAUUCUAAUACUAUUUUAAUGAUCACUGUUAUAACAGUCAACAGGGAGCUGGAAAUCAAUUACCUCAGAAACAACUGAAGGACCCUCCCACUGAUGUACCAUUUAGGUAAUCGUAGCUCUAUCACACAGUUCUUCAGCAACAAUCAUGUAUCAAAUAUAUUUACUAUAAAAUACCCAAAACGUAGCCCCAUACUAACCACUGUGAAGAAAAUGAAUUUUUCCCCAACCAAACCCAGCACAUUUCUUUAUGAGAUUUCAAGACAGAGUAAAGACCUUGCAUUUUGUCUUUAUAAAGUACAUAAUCUGUUAAUAUUUUAAUGUAAUUACUAUUUUGUAUUUUGUAGACUUUUUACAUUAAUUCGAUUUAUCAUAGCUGACCUCUUAACACCAACACUAGAAGCUUAUGCAAGCAUCCUGGAGCACAUGGCACAGGACUGUGUCCAAAUGUACUGGAAUAUCUCCAAUGAUGGUGAUUCCACAACCUCUCUGGGCAACCUGAUCGAGUGCCCAGUCACUCACACAGUAAAGAAGUUCUUCCUCCUGUUCAGGCAGAACUUCCUGUGCUUCAGUUUCUGUCUAUUUCCUCUUGUCCUGUUGCUUGGUGCUACCCAAAGCAGAUGUAAAUCCAUGCUUUAUUAACUGAAAUAGGGUAUCAGUCUUCCAAUAACUUCAGUACACAAGCUUACCUCUGACUCUCAAGGGUUGGUGUCUGUGUCAGGGAGAUAUCAGGGAGAUACUACAGGGUCCAGGGUGUCUUUUGACUGUAUGAUCCUGCUCUCCUAUGCAUGUCCUUACUACUGGAAAAGGACAGCAUGAAGAUCAUUUAUGAAGAUGACAGCACUAGAAAUUGAAAUAUCAAGUGUUUUCUAAACAGAGAGGAAGAUAUAGUCUCUCUUCCAAAGAGUCUAAAUAGUGAGAGAAAGGCAGAGACUGACAAAAAGGUAUGUCACAUAUGGACAAGGCAUCAGAUCACAUUAUUAUUAACUGGCAUAUGUUGCAGUUUUUCCCAUCCUUUUCCUUCUGCUUUCCAUUCUUCUUGUCAUCAUAUUCUGCUUAUAUUACAGGGGUUCACACUGAACCUCAUGUAUGUGUGCAGUUAGUCACCUAAGAAUAAAUUAAAAAAUAAAUUAAUGUACUCAGCUUUUCUUAAACCUUAUUAAAAGUGUAAUUCCUAGGCAAAUUUUAAUAGAAAGAGGGCCAGAUCUGCCCAGAAAAAAAGAUUUAACUUGUGGAAUACAAUGAGAGGAAACAAACGUCUUAUGUGGAGAAGCAGAUAAUGAAGUAGGUAAAACUGGAAGGAGGAUGAUCUAACAAGGUAAUAAGAGUAAAUCAACUAAAAAGAAAGAGUUUAAUAGCAUCUUGGAGUUGAUCGUCACCCAUGAUUCAGGAGAGAGCAUGAAGCCUGUGGAAAAAAUAAAGUCAUUAUCUUUCAAGAGGCCAAAAUCAGAAGUAGUCUGACUAAAAUAAGAGUUUAGGAACAUAAAUUCUCUAGCUGUACUUUAAAUGGCCUGAUGGCAGUGUUUGUGAGGGGGUUGUAACAACUGGAGUAAGAGGUUAUGUGGGCCAGUAACAUGGCAGGAAGAAGCAAACCCUUGGGAGGAGUGGAUAAAGAAUGUGAAAAGGGUAGUCUUUGUGUGCAGCAUCAAAAUUCUGUUCUACAGUGAGACUCCUUGAUUAUAAGUGACACUGGGUAAUUCUGAUUUUUGUAUGCACUGGUUUUACGAAGCAUCUCAAAAGUAGAACUUAAUUUUUCCUAUUACUUCAGUGGAUCUUCACCACAGCAAUGUAAGACCUUUUUCUUCAUUAAAAGAAAUGUGCUUAGAAGAUAAUUGCAAAACAAUAAGCAAAAUGAAACACUGUGAAUGAAUAACAGGACUGCAGGAUAGUUUUCUAAAUCUGAUUUUUCUCAAAUUGGCUGAAUUGCCAAUUGCUGGUAAUCCUCAUGUAAUGAAAAUAUUGAGAUAGGGUUUGGUGGAAUAGGGUAGUUUCGCUAAGCUUGUUCAGCAAAUUAUUUUAAUAACUAUAUUUCUGAAGCCAUAAUAAUCCAUGAAUGCCUGCAACAAUUAUUUUCCUCAUUAUUGUAAUAUUUUUUGUUGUUACAGAUGGCUAUACUGAAUAUAUAACUUCUAGAAUCACAAUGGUCAUUCUCAUAAAUUCAGAGACUUUUUUUCCACUUAACAGUCUUAAGCUGAGUUGUUGUUUUUCUGUGUUUGAAACCACAGCUGACACUGGAGAUAUAAUUUCAGAGUAAAAGAGUAAUACAGGAAUACAAAUAGGCAUUGCUGAAGUCCUCUGAGCAAAACACCUGGGGACAAGAAGGCAGUGCCUCUUAAACAUCAAGACUCAAAGUUAUUAUCCUGUUCUCUUGCUUCCCUUUCUUUUGAUCCUUUGUGGCCACUCAUUACUACUUUUGUGGCAGAGUACCAAAGUAGACAUGACACAUUGUACACUGGGGGACACUUAGGACUUCUGCAGGACAACAGAGCAACCCAGUGGUCACCAAGACAAAGAAUUCCUCAUUCUACAACGUUUGUUUCAUUGCCAUGUGUUGGUGUCACAGCAUCCUUCACACUCACUCAACCACAGAACCCAGCAGUCAAUCAGUGCAACGGAAAAGACCCAUCUAACAAAAACAUCUAUGGUUGGGUUUGCAUCAUUUUAAGACAUUUCAAAAAAAUGCCAGUGUUUGCUGUAAAUAAGAAUACUGAUCAGAUAAAUUGCCUUGUUUGAUGUAAUGGCACACGCUUCCUUCCACGUGAAGUGUUUUGUUGGGUUUAUGUGGCUGGGUUUUGGUAGUGGGAGGUUACAAGGAUGGCCUCUGUGACAAGAUGCCAGCAGCUUUCCCUCUAAAAAGGGAAACAAGUUAUUGUACAGAUGUAAUUGCAGUCAGAGAAGAGUGAGAAUAUGUGUGAGGAACAACUCUGGAGACAGUAGGGUCAGUAGAGAAGGAGGGGGGGAGGACAUGCUACAGGGGCUGGAGCUGAGAUUCCCCUGCAGGCUGUGGUGCAGCCCAUGGUGAAACAGGCUGUCCCCCUGCAACACAUGGAGGUCCAUGGGGAUGCAAAGAUCCACCUGCAGCCCAUGAAGGGACCCACACUAGAACAGGUGCCCCAGACAGGGCUGUGAGCCCUUGGAAAAGCCCUGCUGGAGCGGGCUCCAGGCAGGGACUUGCAAAUCUGUGGAGAGAGUAUGCCAUAAUGGAACAGGUUUCUGGUGGGAGUUGUGACCCUGCAAGGGACCCAGGCUGCAGCAGGCUAUACCUGGAGGAUUGCACCCUGUGGAAGAGUGACCCAUGUUGCAGCAGUUCACGGAAAACUGUUGCCCAUGGGAUGAACUCAAUGUUGGGCAAGUUCAUGGAGAGCUGUUUCCCAUGGGAGAGACCCCAUGCUGGAGCAGGGGCAGAAACAACCUGGGAUGAACUGAUCAUAACCUCCAUUCCUUGUCUCCUUGUGCUGCUGGGGGAGAGGAGGUAGAGCUGGGAAGAGGGGAGGGCUGGGGGAAGGUAUUUUUAGGAUUCAUUUUACUUCUCAUUCUCCUUCUCUGGG